CCCGAGACUAGAGUCUCAUCCUGGCUGGUCUGUGCCCUGGGUGUGCUAGAGUUCUCGGAGAGCAAUCACUGUGCUUUAUUCACUGGCGGGCUCUCAUUGUGGCCCAGCCAGUCACCGGCUCAGUGACACGU
Molecule: small nucleolar RNA, 131 nt
Organism: Bufo bufo (common toad)
Lineage: Eukaryota; Metazoa; Chordata; Amphibia; Anura; Bufonidae
Product: small nucleolar RNA SNORA3/SNORA45 family
Exons: 1
Source: RefSeq, a predicted model, not a curated record